Molecule: ribosomal RNA, 448 nt
Filed under: uncultured bacterium
Lineage: Bacteria
Description: bacterial SSU rRNA
Rfam family: Bacterial small subunit ribosomal RNA
Source: RNAcentral
GUCCAGACUCCUACGGGAGGCAGCAGUGGGGAAUAUUGCACAAUGGGGGAAACCCUGAUGCAGCGACGCCGCGUGAGCGAAGAAGUAUUUCGGUAUGUAAAGCUCUAUCAGCAGGGAAGAAAAUGACGGUACCUGACUAAGAAGCCCCGGCUAACUACGUGCCAGCAGCCGCGGUAAUACGUAGGGGGCAAGCGUUAUCCGGAUUUACUGGGUGUAAAGGGAGCGUAGACGGCUGUGCAAGCCAGAUGUGAAAGCCCGGGGCUCAACCCCGGGACUGCAUUUGGAACUGUGUGGCUGGAGUGUCGGAGAGGCAGGCGGAAUUCCUGAUGUAGCGGUGAAAUGCGUAGAUAUUAGGAGGAACACCAGUGGCGAAGGCGGCCUGCUGGACGAUGACUGACGUUGAGGCUCGAAAGCGUGGGGAGCAAACAGGAUUAGAUACCCUGGUAUA